AGGCAGUUAGUUUAAUAAAAACAUUUGAUUUCGGCUCAAAAACUCGUGGUUUAAACCCAUGACCGCCCA
RNAcentral lists this transfer RNA (69 nucleotides) under Luciocephalus pulcher (pikehead). RNAcentral's name for it is "tRNA-Arg". It matches the Rfam family "tRNA". From Rfam's summary of the family: Transfer RNA (tRNA) molecules are approximately 80 nucleotides in length. Their secondary structure includes four short double-helical elements and three loops (D, anti-codon, and T loops). The record is from RNAcentral. Lineage: Eukaryota; Metazoa; Chordata; Actinopteri; Anabantiformes; Osphronemidae.